RNAcentral lists this ribosomal RNA (24 nucleotides) under Melanoleuca iris. Its description in RNAcentral is "partial 18S ribosomal RNA". Lineage: Eukaryota; Fungi; Basidiomycota; Agaricomycetes; Agaricales; Pluteaceae. The record is from RNAcentral.
GUAGUGACCCUGCGGAGGAUCAUU